CACCCGCGCUCGCUCGCGCACGGGAGGACCAAUGGGAAGCAGGCGCACGCGGCGGUCCAACGGCGUUUGGGCGGGAGGCAGAAUAGGAGAAAAGAGAAAAGGCUGUUGGGGCGCCCGCGCGCACACAGCUGGUUGGCUGGUUGCCUUGCGCACGCGCUUCAUGCUCUCGCUCUCCAUCUCUCUCGCGCUUAUCUCGAGACCCUUUCUUUUGGGGGGGAGGGGAGGGGGAGGUCACGUGGUACCCAGCUAGGAAUGCGGCGCGCGGAAUCAGCACUGGGAAAGUGGCAUUAGGCGCGCUAAGGCUAAGAGCAAGAAGCUGUGAACGUUGACUGUCUGCUAGGAAUAGUUAAACUGUGCUUCCGCCUAUUCUCUGCUUAUACAUUUGCAAAUAAACCUUAUGAAGCACCAUAUACUUCCAGCAUCUUCUUUCUCACGGAAACCAAGCCUGGAAUUUGAAUACUGGAAAAGAAGAGAGGCGUGAAAAAUGAGCCAGCUGAAAAACAGCUACAGGAAAUCAGCAGUUAUAGCCAGUCCUUUCUUAGUCCAUGAGUCUGCUUCAUCGAAGAUCAGCAGCAAACAAGGAGCUGGAGCUUGGUGAUGCAUCAAUACUCUUUGGUAGAGGGAAGGCUGAAUGAAGAUCUUGUAAAACAACUAUUCCAUAGCAUUAUGCCAUAGCAGUUAAAAUAAGAUACAAUAGCAUUCAUCCUGUAGUGUGGAUUCAUCUUAGGAUGAGAAAGGAAGAAAAUUACUGGUAUCUCUUAUUUGUUGGCCAUGGAAAUAGAAGGAAAUAUUAGCUAUAAUUUUGUAAUUUCCCUUCUGAUACCUGGAAGGGCAUAGGUGUGAGCCUCUUAACGUCACAUUGGGGCCUAGAGGUUUGUCUCCUUUGGAGAAAGUUUUUUUUUUUUUGGCAAGCCUAAUAUGGGGGCAGAUGUUAGAAAUGAGGUGUAGAUCUGUAGAACUGCAAUCUUCAAAAUAGCCUUCUUUGGAUCCCACUGAAAUCAACCACAUCUGAGAGGCCUUGCAUGAAUGCACCACAAACGUAACAGAAAGCAACGGCUGGAAGCUAAGCAGAGCUGGUGAGAAAAUGGGAUUGCCAUACAUGUCACUCAGGAUUCCAGUGAAGAAAACAACGUUUUCUGCAAAAUAAACCUAUUAAGAGGCUUAUGUUUUGUUUGCAGAAGUUCACUUCAGAAGCUUCUCAGAGCCUCUGCUUUAUGGGGAUAUGCAGGUUGUACAAAUCUAUUGUUCUUGUUCUCUUAUUUUGUUACAAAUGAAUAAAUACAUGAAGGACUUUAGAACUGUAUUUCUUCCCACCUUCCAUCAGGUAAGCAUCGGCUUCUUUUAAGACUUCAAACUAACAUGUUUUCGUUCCCCAGAAUGGGUUUCUUUCCCAGAGGAUGUUCAUGAGAAACUGAUAUAUAAUGUGUUUUUCAGGUAGAUUGCACAGAUGUGGGAGUCAUUAUCAUAUGAUGAAAAAAAACAAGGAAAAGAAUCUCAGUGUAGAAAAAGGUGUUUGAGACACUCCACAGUAGAUCAUGUUUUGUGUCUACUCACCACAAAAGAAAAGGUACCACAAGACAGAAUGUAGCUGGAGUGGGGAAUAAAAUAGCACUUUGUGAAGCUGAACAGAUGAGAUUCACUUGUUUUGAAUUGGUAUUGACAAUGAGACAAAAGAUAAUAUGGCAUAAAGGAAGAGUUUUCUCCAUUGUGCCUGGAAAUGCACAUCAUACCCAGGGUAGUGAUCGGAGGGGGGGUGGAUUAUAGGUCGUCCCCAAAGUAUCUUGGCUACCAUUCAGGGAAUUUAGCUGUUCGCUUUGAACACUAGGUUGUGUACAAAGCAUGUCUAAAAAUAAUCCAUUUCCCAGUGUUGGAAUAGGGGAAGUGAAGUGAGUGGCAAUUGCUCCAUUGUACAUGACAGAUUACAAGCAAGUUAUCCAGUGCUGCUUUAUAUGCAGGGCUAGUCGUGAAGGCUUCAUGUGGGCAAGCUACAAAUAAAACAAAUGAAAUGAAAAACAAUGCAGCACGUUUACCAAAGCGGCGCAUGUGACGGUUUUGUUUAUGUGUGCUCUGGAGAUCUUGUAUGUACUAAUGACAGACAAAUGUGCAUGUUCCCUUUGCUGACAGUCAAAGCUCUCUCUCGCUCUCUCUCUUCUCAACAAAGCAAGCAGAUGAAGUGAAGGACUGGAGCUAACACCCACUUGAGAGUUACGGAUGUGACAGUUCUGUGGCUGCUAAUGGCAGGAUUACUGUGGCUGUUGUUAUCCAGAAGGUUUUUCACACACAUACACCCUUCUCAGACUGAAUGUACGGAAAAGCAGCUGGUUCGUCAGACAGUUGACUUCGCUUGUAAAAUUGCUUGCCAUUGCUUUGCAGAAGGAGCCCUUUUGUAUAACCUGGAGUUUGUCACUGUCACUUCAGCUGCAGGCAGCUCCCUUGUCUCUGGUUAAAGAAGCAUGUUGGGUGUGAAGAGGGUAGAUUUGCAUCGCUGGAGGUUUUGGUUUGGGCAGAUCUCUGCAGCACCUGCAGCUGGGAAUUCAUAUUUUAACCAUACAAAUGGAAAGGGAGAUAGAACAAAUCCUCAAGCUGCAGAUAAUUGUUUUGCUGGAAGGAAAAGAGAGAUUAUCCUAAGCAUUUGCAUUCUCCAUUGCAACCAAGCUAUCUGCUGCUAUUGUGACCCUUUCCCCCUCAAGUUUGCCAUGAUAGUAACUUCUGCAACCUCUCAUGAAUAAUUUUUUCACACUAUACAGUUACAGUACUAUGAUUCCUAUUUAAUUGCCAUGACAACACCCUAUGGAAUACUGGGAUUUGCAGUUUAGGGAUAAGUACUUAGAAUUCUCAAUCAGGGCACAUUAGUGUUUUGGAAGUUGCCAUGUCGAUUAAAUUGGAAUCGUAGUACUCUAAUUGUACAGUGUAAAAAUACCAAGGUGAAACGUAUCCUACUGUACAGCUAUAGUUCUAGGAAAAGUGAGGCACAAGAUUUCUCUAGCUAGGAAUUCUCAGUGUUCCUCCCUAAAUUUCAGAUUUCAAAAUUACAUAGGAUGCUUCCAGUGCGGUUAAACUGGAAUAUAGCUUUAUAACCAUGUAGUGUGCUAAGGAUCUUUUUUGAUGAAAUGUUGCUAACAAUGCCUCAUUAAGAAACAUGGUGGACUCCAGGAAUAGCAGUUGUAGGUGGUUUCCGUUUGCUUUCUGAAAUCUGCCUUGGAAUGAAUAAUAGCUAGCACAGAUAUUUGUCCUUAUGUUGACUUUUUCACUUGAAAUCCCGAUGUCUGUCAUUACAAUAUUUACAAUCCAUACCUAAAUCUAAUUGCUAGCCUUAACUAAACUCAAUGAAUCAUUGGGAACUUUAUAAUCAACAGUGUUGUAGAUUUCACUGAUUCUUUUGAGUCUACACUACUGGCGACUAGAGAGUUGUACAAACCUAUGUGAGUACAUCCCACUGGACAUACUGGAAGAUGAAUAAGGAAAUAGACAGAAGUGUUCCUACUGAUGGUUCUCCAGUUUUGUAAUUUAUUACACCAUGAGGUUCAGCAAAGGUUCAACAUAAGCAACUUCUUGCAACCAUGUAAAAGGUUUCUUAACCUUUUCCACAUUAGUACUUAUGUUUAAAUAUGCAGGUCUUACCACAUUUGCUGUUUUGACUUUUGGGGAUUUGAUUAUUCAGAUUUGAUGAAAAAUAUUUCUUCUAGGAAUUUCUAGGCCCUUUAGUGUGACUUGAUGACUAACUUCCUCCAGACAUGCUGGAGAAGCUAGAGAUUUAAAACGAGAAGACCAUUUCUAGGUAUCUCUACAUCCUCCAGUGUGAUUCUGUGGUCAAUUUACAGUGGAGGAAGACCUAGAAAUUCCUAGAGAAAUGUUCUUAGAUUAAAAAAUAUUGAUGUUUUGAUUUGCAGAGUUUUUAAAACUUCCAUGGGGGUCGUGUGCCCCUAACCUUAAUUGAUGUGGAGGGAUGACUAUACAUGUAAAAUACCAGUAAAACAUGACAAUAGGGAUAGUACCAUGGCAGUUCCUGUGUAUUGUGGAAGGAAGGUAAGGCAUGCCAUCUGACCAUCAGUAUGCUGAGCUGUUGUUUUAUGUUCUGAGAUGGCUAGGGGUGAAGCUGCUAGUCUUCUCAUGAAGCCGGAUCUAUACUAGCCAAUGAAACUGUUUUUGAUAGGCUGACCUUAUCCUGCUUCUUCAGAAUCUAUAAAAUGUACAGGCUUCUGGAAAAGGAAAAGUCUGAUGUGCCAAGAGAAAGUGGCCGUCUGCCAGCACUCUGUGGAUCACAAUGGAGUUUUCUGAAAUUGUGGAUAUCAUUUCUGUGUGUUGUUGGAAGACGUUCAUGGCCGAAAUCACUGGGCUGCUGUGAUUUUUCUGGGCUGUAUGGCCAUGUUCCAGAAGCAUUCUCUCCUGACGUUUCACCCACGCCUAUGGCAGGCAUCCUCAGAGGUUGUGAGGUAUAUUGGAAUCCAGGCAAAUAAGAAUCUCCAGUAUUCAAUCCUACAGUUGGAAUCCCCCGGUGCAGCAGUGGAUUGGGUUGCUGACUUGAAGAUUGCCAGUUUGAAUCCAACCCGGGGAGAGCGUGGAUGAGCUCCCUCUAUCAGCUCCAGCUCCAUGCGGGAACAUGAGAGAAGUCUCCCACAAGGAUGGGAAAAACAUCAAAACAUCUGGGCAUUCCUUUGCAGAUGGCCAAUUCUCUCACACCAGAAUUGACUUGCAGUUUCUCAAGUCACUCCUGACAUGAAAAAAAAAAAUCCCACAAUUUAUCCGAUUUUGACUCUGCCACUUAGAACCACUACAGUUUAUAUUCUACAAAUGAAGAGGAAGACAGUUGAUUCAGAAAUGGAUACCACUUCACUCUGUUUAAGAGAAAAAGAUCACAGCAUCACUCUCCUCAUUUACUGAAUGCUACACAGGCUUUCUGUGAUGUCAGUUCCCACUUGUAAUCCUCCCUUGUUUCCCUACUGCUUUCUCCUUUCCAUAAAACCUCUAUUAAGGAGGAAAAGAUGAAAAAGCUGCAGGAUGCCUUCUAAUUGCUAGCAUGAAGCACCCUCCGUCUGGAAAUGUCUUUACAAGCAUAUCUCAGUUGACAAAACCUCUAACAAAGAAGCUUUUUUUUUUUACAACAACUUCUUACACCCACCUGCCCGCACUUUCUCCCACAUAUCCUCUGUCUAACUUUGAAAGUUUUAGCAGAAUGGAGAAGAUGAUGAAGGAGUGCUGGAGAGACUUUCAAGGUUGGGUUGUAACAACGUAUCUACACAAAAUAUUGCAAUGAAAAAAGUUUGAGAUGGGAAGGAAUAGGAUUCCCCUCGAGCCAUUCUUACCAUAGCAGUAUGUGUCCAUAUCCAACAGGCAAGGCUCAACAGCAGCCACCUCCAAAACACCUUACUGAGCAAAACAAAGAGAAAAGGGGACAGUACACAAGCUUAACCUGAGUUAUCCUCGUCAUGUUAAAAAAGCUGAAGUUUGAUCAACAAAGUUUAAAACAAGAAAGUGUAAAAAUAAGGAAGAGUUGGUUGAUGAAGGAAAUAGCAACCCCUGGAUGCAUGCUGGAAGAUGCCUCCAAGUUGUUUCUAGAAGAUUCAAAAUGUUAUUGUUUACUAAUGCAAGGCUUUUCCAACAUGCUUCUUUUAUUCCCCAUAUUGUUAGUUUUGAAUGAAAAAUUUGCUGAAAUACGUUGAAUUCUGAAAAAAAAAGAGUUUUGUUAUUUGA
Long non-coding RNA from Anolis carolinensis (green anole), 5691 nucleotides. RefSeq lists it as uncharacterized. The transcript has 6 exons. The record is from RefSeq and is a predicted model, not a curated record. NCBI's taxonomy places the organism in Eukaryota, Metazoa, Chordata, Lepidosauria, Squamata, Anolidae.